This 92-nucleotide transfer RNA is filed under the name Dipodomys ordii (Ord's kangaroo rat). It matches the Rfam family "tRNA". Rfam says of the family: Transfer RNA (tRNA) molecules are approximately 80 nucleotides in length. Their secondary structure includes four short double-helical elements and three loops (D, anti-codon, and T loops). The record is from Rfam by way of RNAcentral. Lineage: Eukaryota; Metazoa; Chordata; Mammalia; Rodentia; Heteromyidae.
GGCGCUGUGGCUCAAGUGGUAGAGCGCUAGCCUUGAGCUGAAGAGCGCUUGCCUUGCAUGCUCGAGGCCCUGGGUUCGAUUCCUCAGCACCA